Molecule: long non-coding RNA, 264 nt
Filed under: Mytilus galloprovincialis (Mediterranean mussel)
Lineage: Eukaryota; Metazoa; Mollusca; Bivalvia; Mytilida; Mytilidae
Source: RNAcentral
GCCAUUUCUUUUUUUGCAUGCCGAAUCAAUGUGCACGCAACUUUGGAGCUACGAUCUUUUUCUGAAUGAACAGCUUCAUCAACACAUGUAACUAGGUUGUCAAACUAAUAUCUGGGAUAGACGGAAAAGACACCAAAAGUCUCCGAUUCCGAUUGACUAACUCAUCUCUCUCUCUUCUGUUUUUUUUUUUUUUUUUUUUUUUUUUUUUUUUUUGUGAAAACGACGUGGAUGCACGUGCUGUCGUGCCUCCGGGUAGCUACGCCC